ACGGAAGGCAGCAGUGGGGAAUAUUGCACAAUGGGGGAAACCCUGAUGCAGCGACGCCGCGUGAAGGAAGGAGUAUCUCGGUAUGUAAACUUCUAUCAGCAGGGAAGAUAGUGACGGUACCUGACUAAGAAGCCCCGGCUAACUACGUGCCAGCAGCCGCGGUAAUACGUAGGGGGCAAGCGUUAUCCGGAUUUACUGGGUGUAAAGGGAGCGUAGACGGUGUGGCAAGUCUGAUGUGAAAGGCAUGGGCUCAACCUGUGGACUGCAUUGGGAACUGUCAUACUUGAGUGCCGGAGGGGUAAGCGGAAUUCCUAGUGUAGCGGUGAAAUGCGUAGAUAUUAGGAGGAACACCAGUGGCGAAGGCGGCUUACUGGACGGUAACUGACGUUGAGGCUCGAAAGCGUGGGGAGCAAACAGGAUUAGAUACCCUGGUA
RNAcentral lists this ribosomal RNA (434 nucleotides) under uncultured Blautia sp. RNAcentral's name for it is "bacterial SSU rRNA". It matches the Rfam family "Bacterial small subunit ribosomal RNA", at positions 341 to 792 of the family's 1533-position model. The record is from RNAcentral. Lineage: Bacteria; Bacillati; Bacillota; Clostridia; Lachnospirales; Lachnospiraceae.